This 66-nucleotide microRNA precursor is filed under the name Bombyx mori (domestic silkworm). RNAcentral's name for it is "mir-2774 microRNA precursor family". It matches the Rfam family "mir-2774 microRNA precursor family". Lineage: Eukaryota; Metazoa; Arthropoda; Insecta; Lepidoptera; Bombycidae. The record is from Rfam by way of RNAcentral.
ACCACAUUUGGACCGUCGAUCUACCGAGCAGUAGACCGGCUCGGUGGAAGAUCUCCUCUUCGUUGU